AGUGAACGCUGGCGGUAGGCCUAACACAUGCAAGUCGAACGGCAGCACAGUAAGAGCUUGCUCUUACUGGUGGCGAGUGGCGGACGGGUGAGGAAUACAUCGGAAUCUACUUUUUCGUGGGGGAUAACGUAGGGAAACUUACGCUAAUACCGCAUACUACCUACGGGUGAAAGCAGGGGAUCUUCGGACCUUGCCCGAUUGAAUGAGCCGAUGUCGGAUUAGCUAGUUGGCGGGGUAAAGGCCCACCAAGGCGACGAUCCGUAGCUGGUCUGAGAGGAUGAUCAGCCACACUGGGACUGAGACACGGUCCAGACUCCUACGGGAGGCAGCAGUGGGGAAUAUUGGACAAUGGGCGCAAGCCUGAUCCAGCCAUGCCGCGUGGGUGAAGAAGGCCUUCGGGUUGUAAAGCCCUUUUGUUGGGAAAGAAAAGCAGCAGGUUAAUACCCCGCUGUUCUGACGGUACCCAAAGAAUAAGCACCGGCUAACUUCGUG
This 492-nucleotide ribosomal RNA is filed under the name uncultured bacterium. RNAcentral describes it as "partial 16S ribosomal RNA". It matches the Rfam family "Bacterial small subunit ribosomal RNA", at positions 29 to 507 of the family's 1533-position model. The record is from RNAcentral.